AGUGAACGCUGGCGGUAGGCCUAACACAUGCAAGUCGAACGGCAGCACAGUAAGAGCUUGCUCUUACGGGUGGCGAGUGGCGGACGGGUGAGGAAUACAUCGGAAUCUACUUUUUCGUGGGGGAUAACGUAGGGAAACUUACGCUAAUACCGCAUACGACCUACGGGUGAAAGCAGGGGAUCCUCGGACCUUGCGCGAUUGAAUGAGCCGAUGUCGGAUUAGCUAGUUGGCGGGGUAAAGGCCCACCAAGGCGACGAUCCGUAGCUGGUCUGAGAGGAUGAUCAGCCACACUGGAACUGAGACACGGUCCAGACUCCUACGGGAGGCAGCAGUGGGGAAUAUUGGACAAUGGGCGCAAGCCUGAUCCAGCCAUACCGCGUGGGUGAAGAAGGCCUUCGGGUUGUAAAGCCCUUUUGUUGGGAAAGAAAAGCAGCAGGUUAAUACCCCGCUGUUCUGACGGUACCCAAAGAAUAAGCACUGGCUAACUUCGUG
This 492-nucleotide ribosomal RNA is filed under the name uncultured bacterium. RNAcentral's name for it is "partial 16S ribosomal RNA". It matches the Rfam family "Bacterial small subunit ribosomal RNA", at positions 29 to 507 of the family's 1533-position model. The record is from RNAcentral.